UAAGACUGUACUGUUAAAUAUAUAAAAUUGGUACAGUACAGAAGAUUAAUAUAGCCCAUGUGCAAAAAUGACAUGCAAAUUUAUGAUGCAAUCCAUAUUUAC
Small nuclear RNA from Oryctolagus cuniculus (rabbit), 102 nucleotides. Lineage: Eukaryota; Metazoa; Chordata; Mammalia; Lagomorpha; Leporidae. The record is from Ensembl.